RNAcentral lists this ribosomal RNA (253 nucleotides) under uncultured bacterium. Its description in RNAcentral is "partial 16S ribosomal RNA". It matches the Rfam family "Bacterial small subunit ribosomal RNA", at positions 524 to 776 of the family's 1533-position model. The record is from RNAcentral.
UACGUAGGGGGCAAGCGUUGUCCGGAAUCAUUGGGCGUAAAGAGCGUGUAGGCGGCCAGAUAAGUCCGCUGUGAAAUCUCGAGGCUCAACUUCGAGCUGUCGGUGGAAACUGUCUGGCUAGAGUCCGGAAGAGGAGAAUGGAAUUCCUGGUGUAGCGGUGAAAUGCGCAGAUAUCAGGAGGAACGCCGAUGGCGAAGGCAGGUCUCUGGGCAUUAACUGACGCUGAGGAGCGAAAGCAUGGGGAGCGAACAGG